ACAGAUUUACAGUUAUUAAUUGCUCACAGACGAAUAAUAUUCUGACCCAGCAAUUCUGAUACUGAAUUAAGUGGUAACCUAAAUUACUGUCUCUGUGUAAAUUUAAUUCCUCUUCUCCAUGAUCAAAGACGAAAUGCUGUGAAUAUGGCAGUUGGUGUUGUCAAGAAUCCAUUGAUGCAUUGCAAGGCUGCACUAGAGGACUUGCUAGUCUCUAAACCAAACCAAGGUCAGUCUUUUGGAUGUACCACAUGGUGGUUUUGACAAACUAUCGACAAGAAACUUAUCUACUUCCUUUGAGUGGCUGCACACUAGUGAACAGGUUGUUAAUAAAGUACUGGAGCAGUGUGCUGUUAUUAUGCAGUUGCAACAUAAUUACCUGGACCUAGUGCAGCACCUACAACAGUCAAUGUAUAUCCAUCAGCAGUCUAAUCUUCUCAAUCAUUGGUGCCGAAUUUUUCUGAUGCUUAUGAAUCCAAUUCCAAGCCUUACCAAGGUCAGAAAAUGCGUCACGGAGAAGCUAAACAACAUCAGGAGAAAAUCUGGUUCAUAUGCCUCUCCAUGGGCAUGUAACUUGACAGGGGGGUCUGGCCGAAGAUCAGAUGCAUGGUGGUGUCCAUGUUCAUGUGAAGGAUUUGAAGGUGUCAGAAAAGAAAGAUAAAUUGAAGAGAGAUAAUUCAUCCCAGAAAAUGAAUGAACCUGAAAAGAAUUGAUCACUGGAAGCAGAAGUUGCUUUUCAAACAGAGAGGGAAGGCUACUGAAGAAGCUGAUUGUGUGGACUCAUCGAAUUCUUUGGAAGCCCAGAUGGAUUUACUGAAUCCAUCAAUCUCAGAGUAGUUCCUGUCAACUGUGUGUGUCUCAUGUGCCCAUAAUACAUUGCAGCAGUUCGUUUCACCGAAAGAAAAAGGUAUAAGAAGAGUAACUUCAUGAAGAAACUGGCCUCACGAGGUAAAGAGAAAGAAGAAUUCUUCAUCAAGAACUCUGGUGCGCUAGUGAAGGAUUCAAAGCUUUCAGCUUAAAAUUGAAGAGGUAUUCUGGAAGUGUGGCAGCCAUGAGUAUGGUUGGCCACAUUCUAGGCCUGGGUGAUAGACAUUUGGAUAACAUUCUUGUGGAUUUCUUGGAGAUAUUGUAAAUAUUGAUUACAAUGUGUGGUUCAAUAAGGGGCAAAGGUUAAAGAUUCCA
Molecule: long non-coding RNA, 1179 nt
Organism: Vitis vinifera (wine grape)
Lineage: Eukaryota; Viridiplantae; Streptophyta; Magnoliopsida; Vitales; Vitaceae
Exons: 2
Source: RefSeq, a predicted model, not a curated record